ACAUAUGUAUGUAUAUGUGUAUGUAUAUAUAUGUGUAUGUAUGUAUAUAUAUGUAUAUAUGUAUGUGUAUACAUAUGUAUGUACAGUAUGUAUAUACAUACAUAUAUAUAUAUAUUUAUAUAUAUAUAUAUAUAUAUAAUAAUCCAAUCAAGACAUAUAUAUAUAUAUAUAUAUAUAUAUGUGUGUGUGUAUAUUUAUAUAUGUGCGUGCGUGUCAUUGUGUAUAUAUGCAGUGGGGCAAAAAAUUAAUUUGUCAGCCACCGAGAGACAGAAUGUGAAAAAAAAUCCAGAAUUUCACAUUGUAGGAAUUUUAAAGAAUUUAUUUAUAAAUUAUGUUGGAAAAUAAGUAUUUGGUCAAUAACAACAUUUCAACUCAAUACUUUGUAAUAUAACCUUUGUUGGCAAUAACAGAGGUCAUACGAUUACUAUAGGUCUUUACCAGGUUUGCACACACAGUAGCUGGUAUUUUGGCCCUUUCCUCUGUGCAGAUCUUCUCGAGAGCAGUGAUGUUUUGGGGCUGUCGCCGAGCAACACGGACUUUCAGCUCCCUCCACAUAUUUUCUAUGGGGUUAAGUUCUGGAGACUGGUUAGGCCAGGCCACUCCAGGACUUUCAAAUGCUUCUUACGUAACCACUCCUUUGUUGCCCGGGCGGUAUGUUUGGGAUCAUUGUCAUGCUGGAAGACCCAGCCACGUUUCAUUUUCAAACCUCUCACUGAUGGAAGGAGGUUUUGGCUCAAAAUCUCACGAUACAUGGCCCCAUUCAUUUUUUCCUUAACACGUAUCAGUCGUCCUGUGCCCAUAGCAGAAAAAAAGCCCCAAAGCAUGAUGUUUCCACCCCCAUGCUUCACAGUAGGUAUGGUGUUCUUGGGAUGCAACUCAGUAUUCUUCUUCCUCCAAACACAACAAGUUGAGUUUAUACCAAAAAGUUCUGGUUUGGUUUCAUCUGACCACAUGACAUUCUCCCAAUCCUCUGCUGUAUCAUCUAUGAGCUCUCUGGCAAACUUCAGAUGGGCCUGGACAUGCACUGGCUUAAGCAGGGGGACACGUCUGGCACUGCAGGAUUUGAUUCCCUGUCGGCGUAGUGUGUUACUGACUGUAACCUUUGUUACUUUGGUUCCAGCUCUCUGCAGGUUAUUCACCAGGUCCCCCUGUGUGGUUCUGGGAUUUUUGCUCACCGUUCUCAUGAUCAUUUUGACCCCACGGGAUGAGAUCUUGCGUGGAGCCCCAGAUCGAGGGAGAUUAUCAGUGGUCUUAUCCACUCUUCCCAGUCUGGUGCAGGUCUACAAUCCUUUUCCUGGUGUCCUUCGACAGCUCUUUGGUCUUGGCCAUAGUGGAGUUUGGAGUCUGACUGUUUGAGGCUGUGGACAGGUGUCUUUUAUACUGAUAACGAGUUCAAACAGGUUCCAUUAAUACAGGUAACGAGUGGAGGACAGAAGAGCUUCUUAAAGAAGAAGUUACAGGUUUGUGAGAGCCAGAGAUCUUCCUUGUUUGAAGUGACCAAAUACUUAUUUUCCACCAUGAUUUACAAAUAAAUUAUUUAAAAUUC
Molecule: long non-coding RNA, 1546 nt
Organism: Nerophis ophidion (straightnose pipefish)
Lineage: Eukaryota; Metazoa; Chordata; Actinopteri; Syngnathiformes; Syngnathidae
Exons: 2
Source: RefSeq, a predicted model, not a curated record